This 253-nucleotide ribosomal RNA is filed under the name uncultured bacterium. RNAcentral describes it as "partial 16S ribosomal RNA". It matches the Rfam family "Bacterial small subunit ribosomal RNA", at positions 524 to 776 of the family's 1533-position model. The record is from RNAcentral.
GACAGAGGGUGCAAGCGUUGUUCGGAAUCAUUGGGCGUAAAGGGCGCGUAGGCGGUCUUGCAAGUCGAAUGUGAAAGCCCAGGGCUCAACCUUGGAAGUGCAUCCGAAACCGCGAGACUCGAGUCCCGGAGAGGGUGGUGGAAUUCCCAGUGUAGAGGUGAAAUUCGUAGAUAUUGGGAGGAACACCGGUGGCGAAGGCGACCGCCUGGACGGAGACUGACGCUGAGGCGCGAGAGCGUGGGGAGCAAACAGG